CAGGUACUCCUUCUGUUCCAAAUUAUUUGUCUUGGAUUUGUCUAGAUACGGAUGUAUCUAGACUCAUUUUAAUGCUAGAUACCUCUUUAUCUAGAUAAAUUUAAGACAAGUAAUUCGAAACGGAUGGAGUACAUG
Non-coding RNA from Triticum urartu, 135 nucleotides. Lineage: Eukaryota; Viridiplantae; Streptophyta; Magnoliopsida; Poales; Poaceae. The record is from Rfam.